RNAcentral lists this ribosomal RNA (171 nucleotides) under uncultured bacterium. RNAcentral describes it as "partial 16S ribosomal RNA". It matches the Rfam family "Bacterial small subunit ribosomal RNA", at positions 363 to 531 of the family's 1533-position model. The record is from RNAcentral.
CGUAUGGAGCGCGAAGCUGAUCCGCCAUGCCGCGUGUGUGAAGAAGGUCUUCGGAUUGUAAAGCACUUUAAGUUGGGAGGAAGGGCAGUAAAUUAAUACUUUGCUGUUUUGACGUUACCGACAGAAUAAGCACCGGCUAACUCUGUGCCAGCAGCCGCGGUAAUACGAUCC